This 144-nucleotide non-coding RNA is filed under the name Clostridium sp. Its description in RNAcentral is "SAM-I sequence". It matches the Rfam family "SAM riboswitch aptamer (S box leader)". Rfam says of the family: The SAM riboswitch is found upstream of a number of genes which code for proteins involved in methionine or cysteine biosynthesis in Gram-positive bacteria. The SAM riboswitch acts at the level of transcription termination control. RNAcentral also lists the same sequence under 1 other name. Lineage: Bacteria; Bacillati; Bacillota; Clostridia; Eubacteriales; Clostridiaceae. The record is from RNAcentral.
CCCUUAUUCAGAGUGAUGGAGAUACAAAGGAUCUAUGAAGUCACGGCAACCCCGUUACAUGGGACUGAAAAUUGGUCUCAGCAGGGAACGGAAGGUGCCAGCCUGAGCGAGGAACCGGGAGAUCGGUUUAUCGAGCAAUAAGAG